GUAACAAGGUUUCCGUAGGUGAACCUGCGGAAGGAUCAUUAAUGAAAGCGAAGUCACGCAUGGGUGAGAGGGGGUUUGAUGCUGGCUCGUCGAGCACCGUGCUUACGCCCCCCGGCCUUUUUACACAUUAACACCUGUGCACCCUUAGGCGAGCGCCCUCCUUCGGCUAAAAGUCUGGCGUUUCCACGUCGGAUCGGGGCGCUCUCCGCUCAAAAACACAUUGCAGCCCGUCUUAUAACGCAUGUAGACCGCCCCACGGGGUAACAAAAGUUAAUACAACUUUCAACAACGGAUCUCUUGGCUUUCGCAUCGAUGAAGAACGCCGCGAAAGUGCGAAACGUAAUGUGAAUUGCAGAAUUCAGUGAAUCAUCGAAUCUUUGAACGCACCUUGCGCUCCUUGGUAUUCCGAGGAGCAUGCCUGUUUGAGUGUCGUGAACCCUCUCAACCUCGCUCCUUUGCUGGAGCGGGCUUGGAUUUGGACGCCUGCAGCCGAAAGGCCCGCUCGUCUUUAAACGCAUUAGCUGGUCCCUAUGGUCAGGUCCAAGCGACGGUGUGAUAACGUUAUGCUUAAUGGCGCCGUUCGUCUCGCUGGCCGGGGGUUGCUUACAGUCGUCUUCGGACAAAGCCUUUCAUGUCAUCUGACCUCAAAUCAGGA
RNAcentral lists this ribosomal RNA (655 nucleotides) under uncultured Gomphaceae. Its description in RNAcentral is "eukaryotic LSU rRNA". The stretch from base 278 to 432 matches the Rfam family "5.8S ribosomal RNA". Lineage: Eukaryota; Fungi; Basidiomycota; Agaricomycetes; Gomphales; Gomphaceae. The record is from RNAcentral.